Molecule: unclassified non-coding RNA, 209 nt
Filed under: Hebeloma crustuliniforme
Lineage: Eukaryota; Fungi; Basidiomycota; Agaricomycetes; Agaricales; Hymenogastraceae
Also listed under: 1 other name
Description: partial internal transcribed spacer 2
Source: RNAcentral
AAUUCUCAACCAUUAUCAACUUUUGCUGAUAAUGGCUUGGAUGUGGGGGUCUAUUUUGCUGGCUUCUCAGAUAGUCAGCUCCCCUUAAAUGCAUUAGCCGGUGCCCCGCGUGGACUGUCUAUUGGUGUGAUAAUUAUCUACGCUAUGGACAUCUGCAAUCAUAUGGGUGUGCACUGCUUCCAGCAGUCUGUUAAAGACAAUACAUGACA